This 508-nucleotide ribosomal RNA is filed under the name uncultured bacterium. RNAcentral describes it as "bacterial SSU rRNA". It matches the Rfam family "Bacterial small subunit ribosomal RNA", at positions 1003 to 1511 of the family's 1533-position model. The record is from RNAcentral.
GAGAUGGAUUGGUGCCUUCGGGAACUGUGAGACAGGUGCUGCAUGGCUGUCGUCAGCUCGUGUUGUGAAAUGUUGGGUUAAGUCCCGCAACGGGCGCAACCCUUAUCCUUUGUUGCCAGCGGUCCGGCCGGGAACUCAAAGGAGACUGCCAGUGAUAAACUGGAGGAAGGUGGGGAUGACGUCAAGUCAUCAUGGCCCUUACGACCAGGGCUACACACGUGCUACAAUGGCGCAUACAAAGAGAAGCGACCUCGCGAGAGCAAGCGGACCUCAUAAAGUGCGUCGUAGUCCGGAUUGGAGUCUGCAACUCGACUCCAUGAAGUCGGAACCGCUAGUAAUCGUGGAUCAGAAUGCCACGGUGAAUACGUUCCCGGGCCUUGUACACACCGCCCGUCACACCAUGGGAGUGGGUUGCAAAAGAAGUAGGUAGCUUAACCUUCGGGAGGGCGCUUACCACUUUGUGAUUCAUGACUGGGGUGAAGUCGUAACAAGGUAACCGUAGGGGAAC